Molecule: ribosomal RNA, 472 nt
Filed under: uncultured delta proteobacterium
Lineage: Bacteria; Deltaproteobacteria
Description: bacterial SSU rRNA
Rfam family: Bacterial small subunit ribosomal RNA
Source: RNAcentral
CGUGAGCGAAGAAGGCCUUCGGGUCGUAAAGCUCUGUCAAGUGGGAAAAAAAUCUUUUGAUGAAUAGUCAAAAGACUUGAUGGUACCACUGGAGGAAGCACCGGCUAACUCCGUGCCAGCAGCCGCGGUAAUACGGAGGGUGCAAGCGUUGUUCGGAUUUACUGGGCGUAAAGAGCGUGUAGGCGGUUUGGCAAGUCAGAUGUGAAAGCCCUGGGCUCAACCCGGGAAGUGCAUUUGAAACUGCUUCACUAGAGUAUGGGAGAGGAGAUUGGAAUUCCUGGUGUAGAGGUGAAAUUCGUAGAUAUCAGGAGGAACACCCGUGGCGAAGGCGAUUCUCUGGACCAAUACUGACGCUGAGACGCGAAAGCGUGGGGAGCAAACAGGAUUAGAUACCCUGGUAGUCCACGCCGUAAACGAUGAGAACUAGGUGUAGUGGGUAUUGACCCCUGCUGUGCCGAAGUUAACGCAUUAA